Molecule: ribosomal RNA, 254 nt
Filed under: uncultured bacterium
Lineage: Bacteria
Description: partial 16S ribosomal RNA
Rfam family: Bacterial small subunit ribosomal RNA
Source: RNAcentral
UACGGAGGGUGCGAGCGUUGUCCGGAAUCACUGGGCGUAAAGGGCGCGUAGGCGGCGCGGGAAGUCAUCGGUGAAAGUUCAGGGCUCAACUCUGAAUCGGCCGGUGAUACUCUCGUGCUUGAGCACUGUAGAGGCAGGUGGAAUUCCGGGUGUAGCGGUGAAAUGCGUAGAUAUCGGAAGGAACAUCAGUGGCGAAAGCGACUUCCUGGACCAAUACUGACACUCAAGUGCGAAAGCGUGGGGAGCAAACAGGA